This 254-nucleotide ribosomal RNA is filed under the name uncultured bacterium. RNAcentral's name for it is "partial 16S ribosomal RNA". It matches the Rfam family "Bacterial small subunit ribosomal RNA", at positions 524 to 776 of the family's 1533-position model. The record is from RNAcentral.
UACAGAGGGUGCGAGCGUUGUUCGGAAUUACUGGGCGUAAAGCGCGCGCAGGCGGCUCUUUAAGUCUCGUGGUCAAAUGCCGGGGCUCAACCCCGAGCGUGCCGGGGAUACUGGAGGGCUGGAGACAGGUAGAGGCAAGCGGAAUUCCGGGUGUAGCGGUGGAAUGCGUAGAGAUCCGGAAGAACACCAGUGGCGAAGGCGGCUCACUGGUCCGGUACUGACGCUGAGGUGCGAAAGCGUGGGGAGCAAACAGG